Molecule: long non-coding RNA, 689 nt
Filed under: Theropithecus gelada (gelada)
Lineage: Eukaryota; Metazoa; Chordata; Mammalia; Primates; Cercopithecidae
Description: lncRNA (ENSTGEG00000024530.1)
Source: RNAcentral
CGGCGCGGCGGCGAGUGCGCGCUGCGGUACACUACUGCUCGCUGGUCGGUCUGCGCGCCAGUGACCAGCCGACUGGGGGCGGGCUGGCGGCUCUGCCUGCGGCACCGCAUCGGUUUUUCUCCUGCCGGGUCUCUAGUUGAGCCGGGAUUCCCUUGGAGCCAGAGAGACGCACCAGGGGCUCCGAGCGCAGCGCUCCGGGGCUGGAGGCAGCUGCGGCGCUCGGGUCCGCGCGGCCGGGUGCAGUAGCCUCAGUCCCCGCCGCCGCCUUGCUUAGUCGUGUGCCCUGGCGAAUGCCCGGCGCCCGGCACAGCUGAGCCAACGCGACUGGUGCAGAGCGGCGGCGCCUCGUCCUGCACUUGCCGCUGCCGCCGGGCUGUGCCGGGGCGGCGGCGCUGCGCGCCCGAGUUUGCAGAGGCUGCCUCCGAGCGCUGUCCCCCAAGAAGACUCCCUGCCUCCUGAGUCCCAAAAACACGAGGUUGUUCUCCUAUUUCAGCAGUUGGCCGCAACUUCAUUGCUGGGAAACGGUGAUUUCAAAGCCAAGAAAGAAGAGAGAACUCUCACCACGACAUUUCAAAGGGAAUACAUUGCCAGAAUUUGGAAUACUCUUCGGGACAAACAUUUCCUCCAAGCAUGCAGCUCUCUGCCCCCAUGUCGCCACCUCUGAAGGACUGACUGAUUCCCUCGGCUGG